ACUGAGUCACAGUGUGGCUGUUACUUAUCUUUUCCUUUUUUUUUGCACAGCACUGCUCUUGACCCUCAUUUUUCCAUUAAUACUCAUACAAAUGAGUGCUUUCCAUAAUUAAUUUUUUUUGUUUCAUUAUUGUUCUGUGGUUGUGUACUUCUAUACUAUGUGCUUUCUUUACUACCAGAAGCUAAAUUUAAUAUCAUUUUAUAAGCAACAAGAAUAUGACAGUACAUCAUAUAGAUCAGGAAACUGGGGAGUGAAGAAUAAUAAAAGAAAUGCAAUCUGAUCCUGCCAGCAGUGAAAGGGCGAGGUAAUUUACACACACUUGGGUAUUCUUGUGCUGAAGAGAAUGUGGGAAAUUGACGUAAACUAUUGUUAAGGUAAGACAACCUGAUGCUGUC
Long non-coding RNA from Aethalodelphis obliquidens (Pacific white-sided dolphin), 395 nucleotides. RefSeq lists it as uncharacterized. The record is from RefSeq and is a predicted model, not a curated record. The transcript has 3 exons. NCBI's taxonomy places the organism in Eukaryota, Metazoa, Chordata, Mammalia, Artiodactyla, Delphinidae.